This 752-nucleotide ribosomal RNA is filed under the name uncultured bacterium. RNAcentral's name for it is "bacterial SSU rRNA". It matches the Rfam family "Bacterial small subunit ribosomal RNA", at positions 8 to 795 of the family's 1533-position model. The record is from RNAcentral.
AGAGUUUGAUCCUGGCUCAGAAUCAACGCUGGCGGCGCGCCUAACACAUGCAAGUCGAGCGAGAAAGGGAGCAAUCCUGAGUAAAGCGGCGUACGGGUGAGUAACACGUAGGUAUCCACCUCUUAGUGGGGAAUAACUCGGGGANACCUGAGCUAAUACCGCAUAAGUCCGAGAGGAGGAAGCAGCAAUGCGCUGAGAGAGGAGCCUGCGGCCGAUUAGCUAGAUGGUGAGGUAAUGGCUCACCAUGGCGACGAUCGGUAGCCGGCCUGAGAGGGCACACGGCCACACUGGCACUGAAACACGGGCCAGACUCCUACGGGAGGCAGCAGUGGGGAAUCUUGCACAAUGGAGGAAACUCUGAUGCAGCGACGCCGCGUGGACGACGAAGCCCUUCGGGGUGUAAAGUCCUUUCGACCGGAACGAUAAUGACGGUACCGGUGGAAGAAGCUGCGGCUAACUACGUGCCAGCAGCCGCGGUAAUACGUAGGCAGCAAGCGUUGUUCGGAAUUACUGGGCGUAAAGAGUUCGUAGGCGGUGCGGCAAGUUCGGUGUGAAAUCUCCCGGCUCAACUGGGAGGGUGCGCUAAAUACUGCCGUGCUAGAGUAUAGGAGAGGUAAGCGGAAUUCCUAGUGUAGCAGUGAAAUGCGUAGAUAUCAGGAGGAACACCUGUGGUGUAGACGGCUUACUGGACUAUAACUGACGCUGAGGAACGAAAGCGUGGGUAGCAAACAGGAUUAGAUACCCUGGUAGUC